RNAcentral lists this ribosomal RNA (484 nucleotides) under uncultured bacterium. Its description in RNAcentral is "partial 16S ribosomal RNA". It matches the Rfam family "Bacterial small subunit ribosomal RNA", at positions 30 to 507 of the family's 1533-position model. The record is from RNAcentral.
AUUGAACGCUGGCGGCAGGCCUAACACAUGCAAGUCGAGCGGAUGAAGGGAGCUUGCUCCUGGAUUCAGCGGCGGACGGGUGAGUAAUGCCUAGGAAUCUGCCUGGUUGUGGGGUAUAACGUCCGGAAACGGGCGCUCAUACCGCAUACGUCCUGAGGGAGAAAGUGGGGGAUCUUCGGACCUCACGCUAUCAGAUGAGCCUAGGUCGGAUUAGCUAGUUGGUGGGGUAAAGGCCUACCAAGGCGACGAUCCGUAACUGGUCUGAGAGGAUGAUCAGUCACACUGGAACUGAGACACGGUCCAGACUCCUACGGGAGGCAGCAGUGGGGAAUAUUGGACAAUGGGCGAAAGCCUGAUCCAGCCAUGCCGCGUGUGUGAAGAAGGUCUUCGGAUUGUAAAGCACUUUAAGUUGGGAGGAAGGGCAGUAAGUUAAUACCUUGCUGUUUUGACGGUACCAACAGAAUAAGCACCGGCUAACUUCGUG